GAUCAUGGCUCAGGAUGAACGCUGGCGGCGUGCCUAACACAUUCAAGUCGAACGGAGUUAUCGGAUUAAUCCUUCGGGAAGCGUCUGAGAAGCUUAGUGGCGGACGGGUGAGUAACGCGUGAGCAACCUGCCUUUGCAACCGGGAUAACAGUUGGAAACGACUGCUAAUACGGGAUGACGUACACGGGUCGCAUGUCCUGUGUACCAAAGAUGCGUCGUGCAAAGAUGGGCUCGCGU
RNAcentral lists this ribosomal RNA (237 nucleotides) under uncultured bacterium. RNAcentral describes it as "partial 16S ribosomal RNA". It matches the Rfam family "Bacterial small subunit ribosomal RNA", at positions 15 to 236 of the family's 1533-position model. The record is from RNAcentral.